GUUCAAAAUAAAUCCCUCAGAAAGUAGAUUCCGUAGACAAGCCUGCAGUCUUAAGGAGUUGUUCUAGGCCACAACCAGAGAGAAAACCUUUGGAAGUCAUAGCCCCUCUGGUGGAAUGUGCCUGAAAACUGAAAUGUCAAUGCUGGCAACAGACAUGAUCCAUUUAACCCGAGAAUAAAAAAAAAACAACUCUUGUGACAGACCCAUCUGUAUGACUAUUAUUUGUGGAUUCGUCUGGUUUGCCUUCCUUUCGUGGAAAUUGCUUAUUUCUAUAGCCCAUGCGUAUGAUGUACUUUUUUACCGAACAAAUCUACCGAACGGAC
Pelobates cultripes (western spadefoot toad) is the source of this 323-nucleotide non-coding RNA. The record is from the annotation of a GenBank genome assembly. Lineage: Eukaryota; Metazoa; Chordata; Amphibia; Anura; Pelobatidae.